CCGGGGAGGGUGGAAAUCUCAGGGUUUCUCCUGCAAACCCUCCUGUCCCCCCCCCCCACAGCUGCCCGGGACCUGGCUGUACGUGGCAGGGGCUGCCCAGUUCCCCCAGCACCAGGUGGAGAUGCUGCUCAUCGACCACGCCUUGCUGCGCCUGGAGCCGGGGCCCGGCGGGCAGGAGCUGCUCAUCAGCCACUUUGUGGCCGUCGGGGACCAAUGUUAUACCCACAACCUGACCUACCUGGAGGUCACUGCCGGUAACGCCUCCCUGGUGAAGAACGCCGUGACCCAGCAGACUGAGGGGAUGCUGAUGAACACGAGCUCUGAAAACCUUUUACUCAUCCAGUACCAAAUGCAGAGGGAAAGGACCUAUUUGGGGCAGUAUCUCUAUGCCAGGAACCUGAGCCUGAGCACGGCAGAGCGGGAGGAAUUCGAGCAGCACGCCGGGUGCCUGGGGCUGAGGGCAGAGCAGAUCGUGUACGCGCCCUGGAAAACGGAGGUGUGUCAAGUGAAAGCAGCCGAAGGCAGCAGCAGCCCCCACCCAGAGCCCGGGGCUGCAGCCACAGCAUCCCCUGCCCCAGGCACCCCCCGGCCUGGCAGUGCAGGGAACUGACCCACACAGGCCAAUAAACCUUUCCUUCAAAGUAAACA
This 648-nucleotide long non-coding RNA is filed under the name Zonotrichia albicollis (white-throated sparrow). RNAcentral describes it as "lncRNA (ENSZALG00000001236.1)". The record is from RNAcentral. Lineage: Eukaryota; Metazoa; Chordata; Aves; Passeriformes; Passerellidae.